AAUAUCAUAGGCAUUCAUUUAAAAAAGAAAGACUGUUUUUGAUCCAGAAGUGGUGACUUUUCAUUCUCUGUGAUGUUGGUGAUAACUCUUCAUUCAAUUGUGACCUUGUUUUUCUUCCUUUCAGAUGGGGCAUUCUCUUCUCCCACCCUCGGGACUUUACCCCAGUGUGCACCACAGAGCUUGGCAGAGCUGCAAAGCUGGCACCAGAAUUUGCCAAGAGGAAUGUUAAGUUGAUUGCCCUUUCAAUAGACAGUGUUGAGGACCAUCUUGCGUGGAGCAAGGAUAUCAAUGCUUACAAUUGUGAAGAGCCCACAGAAAAGUUACCUUUUCCCAUCAUCGAUGAUAGGAAUCGGGAGCUUGCCAUCCUGUUGGGCAUGCUGGAUCCAGCAGAGAAGGAUGAAAAGGGCAUGCCUGUGACAGCUCGUGUGGUGUUUGUUUUUGGUCCUGAUAAGAAGCUGAAGCUGUCUAUCCUCUACCCAGCUACCACUGGCAGAAACUUUGAUGAGAUUCUCAGGGUAGUCAUCUCUCUCCAGCUGACAGCAGAAAAAAGGGUUGCCACCCCAGUUGAUUGGAAGGAUGGGGAUAGUGUGAUGGUCCUUCCAACCAUCCCUGAAGAAGAAGCCAAAAAACUUUUCCCAAAAGGAGUCUUCACCAAAGAGCUCCCAUCUGGCAAGAAAUACCUCCGCUACACACCCCAGCCUUAAGUCUCUUGGAGAAGUUGGUGCUGUGAGCCAGAUUGUCAGCUGCCAAUCGUGUUUUCCUGCAGCAAUUCCAUAAACACAUCCGGGUGUCAUCACAGCCAAGGUUUUUAGGUUGCUAUACCAAUGGCUUAUUAAAUGAAAAUGGCACUAAAA
RNAcentral lists this small RNA (854 nucleotides) under Pongo abelii (Sumatran orangutan). Its description in RNAcentral is "processed transcript". Lineage: Eukaryota; Metazoa; Chordata; Mammalia; Primates; Hominidae. The record is from RNAcentral.